RNAcentral lists this small nuclear RNA (163 nucleotides) under Echinops telfairi (small Madagascar hedgehog). Its description in RNAcentral is "U1 spliceosomal RNA (ENSETEG00000021827.1)". It matches the Rfam family "U1 spliceosomal RNA". From Rfam's summary of the family: U1 is a small nuclear RNA (snRNA) component of the spliceosome (involved in pre-mRNA splicing). Its 5' end forms complementary base pairs with the 5' splice junction, thus defining the 5' donor site of an intron. Lineage: Eukaryota; Metazoa; Chordata; Mammalia; Afrosoricida; Tenrecidae. The record is from RNAcentral.
AUACUUACCUGGCAGGGGAGAUACCAUGAUCACGAAGGUGGUUUUCCCAGGGCGAGGCUUAUCCAUUGCACUCCGAUGUGCUGACCCCUGCGAUUUCCCCAAAUGUGGGAAACUCUACUGCAUAAUUUGUGGUAGUGGGGGACUGUGUUCCUGCUCUCCCCUG